CAGUAGCGUAUAUUAAAGUUGUUGCAGUUAAAAAGCUCGUAGUUGGAUCUCUGGUUGGAGCGUUGGGCCCGCCCGGGUUACCGGUGUGAGUGCCCGUUCGCUCUUUCCAUCCUUCUAGAAAACGGUUCUCUCCUUCAUUGGUUGCGGGAUCGCGAUCUAGAUCUUUUACUUUGAAAAAUUAGAGUGUUUAAAGCAGGCUUGUGCUAUGAAUACAUUAGCAUGGAAUAAUAAUUUAGGACUUUGGUUCUAUUUUGUUGGUUUCUAGAACUGAAGUAAUGAUUGAUAGGGAUAGUUGGGGGUGCUAGUAUUCAGCGGCCAGAGGUGAAAUUCUUGGAUUCGCUGAAGACUAACUUAUGCGAAAGCAUUUGCCAAGGAUGUUUUCAUUGAUCAAGAACGAAAGUUAGGGGAUCGAAGACGAUUAGAUACCAU
RNAcentral lists this ribosomal RNA (429 nucleotides) under uncultured eukaryote. RNAcentral's name for it is "SSU rRNA". It matches the Rfam family "Eukaryotic small subunit ribosomal RNA", at positions 592 to 1018 of the family's 1831-position model. The record is from RNAcentral.